Molecule: ribosomal RNA, 448 nt
Filed under: uncultured bacterium
Lineage: Bacteria
Description: partial 16S ribosomal RNA
Rfam family: Bacterial small subunit ribosomal RNA
Source: RNAcentral
GGCCAGACUCCUACGGGAGGCAGCAGUGGGGGAUAUUGCACAAUGGGGGGAACCCUGAUGCAGCGACGCCGCGUGGGUGAAGAAGCGCCUCGGCGCGUAAAGCCCUGUCAGCAGGGAAGAAAAUGACGGUACCUGAAGAAGAAGCCCCGGCUAACUACGUGCCAGCAGCCGCGGUAAUACGUAGGGGGCAAGCGUUAUCCGGAUUUACUGGGUGUAAAGGGGGCGCAGACGGCGAUGCAAGCCAGGAGUGAAAGCCCGGGGCCCAACCCCGGGACUGCUCUUGGAACUGCGGCGCUGGAGUACGGGAGGGGCAGGCGGAAUUCCUGGUGUAGCGGUGAAAUGCGUAGAUAUCAGGAGGAACACCGGCGGCGAAGGCGGCCUGCUGGACCGUGACUGACGUUGAGGCUCGAGAGCGUGGGGAGCAAACGGGAUUAGAUACCCCCGUAGC